AGAGCGAACGCUGGCGGCAGGCCUAACACAUGCAAGUCGAGCGGCCGUAGCAAUACGGCAGCGGCAGACGGGAUAGUAACACGUGGGAACGCGCCCUUCGGUUCGGAAUAACUCAGGGAAACUUGAGCUAAUACCGGAUACGUCCUUACGGGGAAAGAUUUAUUGCCGAAGGAAUGGCCCGCGUCCGAUUAGCUAGUUGGUGAGGUAAUGGCUCACCAAGGCUACGAUCGGUAGCUGGUCUGAGAGGAUGACCAGCAUCACUGGGACUGAGACACGGCCCAGACUCCUACGGGAGGCAGCAGUGGGAAUAUUGGACAAUGGGCGCAAGCCUGAUCCAGCCAUGCCGCGUGGAUGAUGACGGCCUUAGGGUUGUAAAGUCCUUUUAACGGGGAAGAUAAUGACGGUACCCGUAGAAUAAGCCCCGGCUAACUUCGUGCCAGCAGCCGC
RNAcentral lists this ribosomal RNA (447 nucleotides) under uncultured bacterium. RNAcentral describes it as "SSU rRNA". It matches the Rfam family "Bacterial small subunit ribosomal RNA", at positions 26 to 518 of the family's 1533-position model. The record is from RNAcentral.